This 260-nucleotide ribosomal RNA is filed under the name uncultured bacterium. RNAcentral describes it as "partial 16S ribosomal RNA". It matches the Rfam family "Bacterial small subunit ribosomal RNA", at positions 96 to 354 of the family's 1533-position model. The record is from RNAcentral.
UGGCGGACGGGUGAGUAACGCGUGGGCAACCUGCCCCAUACAGGGGGAUAACAGCCGGAAACGGCUGCUAAAACCGCAUAAGCGCACAAGGGCCGCAUGGCCUGGUGUGAAAAACUCCGGUGGUAUGGGAUGGGCCCGCGUCUGAUUAGCUAGUUGGCGGGGGAGAGGCCCACCAAGGCGACGAUCAGUAGCCGACCUGAGAGGGUGGCCGGCCACAUUGGGACUGAGACACGGCCCAAACUCCUACGGAAGGCAGCAGG